This is a non-coding RNA of Ktedonobacter racemifer DSM 44963, 76 nucleotides long. NCBI's taxonomy places the organism in Bacteria, Bacillati, Chloroflexota, Ktedonobacteria, Ktedonobacterales, Ktedonobacteraceae. The record is from Rfam.
AGGAGCCGAGUGAAGAGAAAUCUUCAUGCUCGGUUUUGCAGACGAGCGGAUGGGGCGACCCAUGCGCUUAGUUUAU